GAUGAACGCUAGCGGCAGGCCUAACACAUGCAAGUCGAGGGGCAUCGCGGGUAGCAAUACCUGGCGGCGACCGGCGCACGGGUGAGUAACACGUAUGCAACCUGCCCCGAACCGGGGGAUAACCCGAAGAAAUUCGGACUAAUACCCCAUAGCGCGUAGCGGUGGCAUCACCACUACGCUAACGAUUUAUCCGUUCGGGAUGGGCAUGCGCCCUAUUAGCUAGUUGGCGGGGUAACGGCCCACCAAGGCAGCGAUAGGUAGGGGUUCUGAGAGGAAGGACCCCCACACUGGUACGGAGACACGGACCGGACUCCUACGGGAGGCAGCAGUGAGGAAUAUUGGUCAAUGGGCGGAGGCCUGAACCAGCCAUGCCGCGUGCAGGACGACGGCCCACGGGUUGUAAACUGCUUUUAUGCGGGAGCAAACCCCUCCUCGCGAGGAGGGUUGAGAGUACCGCACGAAUAAGGAUCGGCUAACUCCGUGCCAGCAGCCGCAGUAA
This 499-nucleotide ribosomal RNA is filed under the name uncultured bacterium. Its description in RNAcentral is "partial 16S ribosomal RNA". It matches the Rfam family "Bacterial small subunit ribosomal RNA", at positions 28 to 523 of the family's 1533-position model. The record is from RNAcentral.